AUGGCACCAACUCCAUCCCUGCCCCAGGCUAACACGACGCCGGUGCCGAACGCCGGGGCGACGGGGAAGCAGGCGGUGGCGCUGCGGGUGUCGGCGGACAACGCGGCGUUCGUUGGGUGCCGAUUCCUGGGCGCGCAGGACACGCUCUACGACCAGUCGGGGCGCCAUUACUACAAGGACUGCUACAUGUUGCUGCUAGCCUGCUACAUCAGGGUCCUUCGACUUCCUCUACGAGGUACGUGA
RNAcentral lists this ribosomal RNA (243 nucleotides) under Triticum aestivum (bread wheat). RNAcentral describes it as "partial small subunit ribosomal RNA". The record is from RNAcentral. Lineage: Eukaryota; Viridiplantae; Streptophyta; Magnoliopsida; Poales; Poaceae.